Molecule: long non-coding RNA, 1250 nt
Organism: Xiphophorus hellerii (green swordtail)
Lineage: Eukaryota; Metazoa; Chordata; Actinopteri; Cyprinodontiformes; Poeciliidae
Exons: 2
Source: RefSeq, a predicted model, not a curated record
CAGGAUAAUUUUUCUAUAUUAGAUGUAGUUUAGUUAUUUUAUUUUCUAUUUUGUUAAAUCUAAUUUUAUUUUGUUUUAUUUAAAGAUCUAAUUUAAAAAUCCUCCUUUGUUUUACUUUUUCGACACUAACCGGGCGAGAGCAGGGUUGUUCUCGCGAGGGUUUAAAGUCAUGCGACAGCUGCACGUCAGUCCUAAAUUGACAGCCACUGCUUAUAUUGCUGCUAAAUCGCACCUUGGGUAGCAGACGCUGUGGGACUGUGACGUGCAGGUAGGCUUGGGUGUUGUUCCCAAAGCGGUUUUGCUUUUGAAUGUCGAUUAUACAUCAAUCGUAUACCUCUGUUAAAUUACAGACAUAUGGUCGCUCAUCUGAACGUUGAAACGAUCUCUGUUUGUUAAAAGAGGAACUGGCCAGGUGUGUUCCAGAUCCCACCCCCGCUCGGAGUAACUGAAGGAUCUGGGACACAUUAAGAAUUGUCUGGUUUUUGUAUAUUGACCGGACUGGCGAGCUAACCAUAGCGGAUUCAGAAAGUCACCCAUAAUCUGAGGAAACAUCUCCAAACCAGAAGGGAAAUUCAACCAACCACUUCACAGCUGGAACUAAAUGACUAUUUUUGUUUUUUCCCUUCCGUCACCGACAGAGACUUCCUUGGUUUAAGGAACUGGACUUUAAAGCUGUGAAACAAUUUGUAUAUAUUGUAAAUAUAAAUACACCUCAUUGAUUUUUGCACUCUCCAGUUGUAUGUGUCUUGCAAUUUGCCACUACCUCCAGUAGACGAACCUGGAACCUAGUUUUUCACUUAGAGUGACGUUGAUUUGGGUUUUUUAAUAAUCUUAAAAUGUAACUCGGGUUACAUAGCUUGGCGAGCUAGCCAGGAGGUUGUUGGCAUUUUGUAAACACAAAUCAUUGUUUUUUUGUCAUCAACAAUAUGGAUGAGUUUCAAAAACUCGACAUAAAAAUUCCCAACUCUGUUUUGGUUGAAGGCAUUUCAGAUGAAGAUAGUAAAGAGGAAGUAUUUGACUUUUUGAAACAAUAUGGGAAGAUAACAAAGACUGAAAUCAUUUCUGAAGCUGAUUCUGAGUUUGAGGGCCAGCUUGUGGUUGAAUUUAGCAGUGGUACAGCAGUAGCUGAAUUGCGUUCCAUUCUACCAUAUUCAUUCAAAUCAUCUGAAAAGUCAGACACAUUUUUCAUCUCUGAAUUAGCUGUUGUAUAUGCAGAACAUGUUUCACAGAGUAAAACUCAUUCUUAUUUA